UGGGGAAUAUUGCACAAUGGGGGAAACCCUGAUGCAGCGACGCCGCGUGAACGAAGAAGGUAUUCGUAUCGUAAAGUUCUGUCCUAUGUGAAGAUAAUGACAGUACCAUAGAAGAAAGCUCCGGCUAAAUACGUGCCAGCAGCCGCGGUAAUACGUAUGGAGCGAGCGUUGUCCGGAAUUAUUGGGCGUAAAGGGUACGCAGGCGGUUUAAUAAGUCGAAUGUUAAAGAUCGGGGCUCAACCCCGCAAAGCAUUGGAAACUGAUAAACUUGAGUAGUGGAGAGGAAAGUGGAAUUCCUAAUGUAGUGGUGAAAUACGUAGAUAUUAGGAGGAAUACCAGUAGCGAAGGCGACUUUCUGGACACAAACUGACGCUGAGGUACGAAAGCGUGGGGAGCAAACAGG
RNAcentral lists this ribosomal RNA (403 nucleotides) under bacterium. RNAcentral's name for it is "partial 16S ribosomal RNA". It matches the Rfam family "Bacterial small subunit ribosomal RNA", at positions 355 to 776 of the family's 1533-position model. The record is from RNAcentral.